ACGGGAAAACAUAAUUCCACCUUGUUAAAACAGGAAAAAAAAACUUACAUAGCAAAACAAGUGUGUUGUUGUUCAUAGUAGAAAUGUUGGAGUCAUCAACGUAGGAAAUUUGUCGACUAGUGAAACAAGAAGUUUGGCCUAAUUGUAACACACAAGAAGUUUGGCCUAAUUGUAAGUUGCUCCAUUCAAUUUUCUUCUAGCAGUUAAACUCUUUUUUAUUGCCAAAGGGUUCCGAAAAAACAAAUGUUGCUGUUUCUGUGGAAGGUAAACGGAAACCAAAAUCCCAUCAGACUAAGAACCGUCCAAAAGGAUAUUUUUCGUCGUUGUGAAACCUUGAAAGAAAACUAUAAUGCUGAAAUUAUAGUCUUAAUUCCUUUUCCAAAUGGUAUAGAAACAGCAACUUACUGCAAUGCCUAUGGUGAUGCUGCGAUAAAACAUUUUUUGAUGUUGGAUGAUUAUGCUGAAAAGUUUUAUGAGAACCAGGCAUGAAAGAGAAGAAGACAAUGGCUUAUUAUGAUACAACUGGUUUUCCUGAUCGAUGCACUAACAUCACUGAUGCUGCCUCAAUUGAAUCUCCCCAGAAAUCAUCACUGCCGGCUUUAUCAAAAGUUGUUACUGGUCAUUUCCCAGAAGAAAAAACAGCGCGAAAAACAGUCACAAGCGACUACUUCCCCCAUUGUUGACAACGUUGUGGAGGGAAUGUUAUGACUGAUCCGGGUAGUCAGCGCCCCUAGCGAGUGCCCGAAAUUUUGUCCGCGGAAAAAGCAGACGAACAGCCCAAAACAGGCCUAGCAGACGACAGUUCUGGGACCUUGCUAUGAAGAAUGUUAGACCAUGCUAGAAGCUAGGCAUCAGUCUGGUGACGACUAAGCUACGCCGAGGUCGUCGUAUGCUCUAUGAGAAAUACAAAGAUUCCACGUUCGACCUUUCUAUUCUUCCACUCGAUCGUAACAUGGCGCAGUUGUAAGCAAAUACGUACGUACUCCCUCUGGGUUUUUUUCUCCUGUUUUCGAACUCAUUGGUAGCCCUGACUCAUGCGUAUCGUUCGCUAAGGUUCGUCGCCCCUACACAGCAGCGGCUCCCUACUUAUUGUUUCCUACUUAAGAGGUGCCAGGCUCUCUUACAUGUCUGUGGAUACUAAAAUUCCGCCCAUACUUAAACGCAAUUUCCUACUUUAAAAAACCUGUUUCAUGUAAGAUUGGUGUAAGUAGUUAAGUAGGCUCAAUUAAUGGUCUAGCUUACUUAAAAUUAAUUUACAUACUUAUUUUCUAUUGGGAACAACCUCCUUAAAUAGUAUCCAUACUUAUCAGUUCUACAUACUUUCACAAAAGCCCUACUUGCCUAAUGCACCCACUUACAUUUCUACAGAAAACCAUCCUACUUCAAAUUAAGGAAAAUUAAUCAACAUGAAAGUCCUUCGUUUAUUAACAAUAACAAACCAACACACAAUAUAAACGGCGGAAUAAAUCAUGUUGAUGCUGCUGGUGCUCUGAAUUCCUGCUGACGCUAAAAAUUAGCUCACGACUCUUCUUCUAACUGUUGUGACCUGGUUACUAUGGGUUACUAUAGUGUAGUAUACCUGGUUACUAUGGGUUAUAACCUGGUUACUAUGGGUUAUAACCCAUAGGCCCAUAUGGGUUAUAACCUGGUUACUAUGGGUUAUAACCCAUAGGUCCAUAUGGGUUGCAACCCAUGGGGUUAUAACCCGGGUUAUAACCCAUAGUAACCAGGUCACAACAGUUAGAUGAAGAGUCAUGAGCUAAUUUUUAGCGGCAGCAGGAAUUCAAAGCACAAGCAGCAUCACCAUCUGGAUCAAGCACUUAGUUACGAAAAUGGCAGAUGUAACAGGCUAACCUAUUUCUUUAAAAGAUUAGCACAGAUUAAGAAACAAAUCAAAGUAAGAAUUUCCAAAUCUACGACGAUUCUUCUUCCAAAGGCAGUUCUUGUGCUUGCUGGUUUUCGUCGUCAUGCAAGACAAAUUUGUCAUACUUUUUCAGAAAAGUAACCAUACUCAAAGAGUCUUUCUGCACUGGUUUCUGUCUCGGAAAACCUUCUUGAUGAAGGCACAAACGAUCAAUUAGUGAAAGGACACCAUACAUGGCUGGAUAAUUACAGUCAGUCACGUAGUACACACUUAACAGGACGAUCCAACAAUGAUUAGCAUGGAGUGGAGAGAAUUUCCAUUAAAGAACACAAUGGCACUUGAGUUUACACCAGAGUAAUCGGGUUCAACGUUUUUUCCAACCUGAUUCACGAAAAGAAAAACUGGCUUUGCACCUUUCACACCGCGGCUUGUUGAACACAAAGCGUUAACUGCAAGCAGUACUUCAAGAUCCAUUUUUGCACCAUCAGCCCACUUUUGCCCGCCCUUAUCACUGUUUCUUUCCAGAAAGCGUCGAAAAGUAAGCAAUGUGCUCUCAAAUGCCUUCUGAAACUUUUCCUCGGUUAUGCAAGACAUGGGAUACAUCAUUAGAAAAUCAUCGAAAAUCAUCAUCGACAGCAGUAGAUAAAUUGCCGGAAAUAGAGUUGGCAGCAUCAUACUGGUUUAGGCCACCCGAAUUCCGCUUUGCACUCGCCUUCUGUUGAUUUCUUUUUAAGUUGUGAAUUCGUCCAUGUUUCUUGGAAUCUAUUUGAUUACCAACAGCUCGAACCACUUUAUGUUUCACAUUAUCUUCACAGUUAUUAUCUGCAAGGCAGGGGUGUUGUUUCACAAUCAUUUGAGCGUAACGUUUAUAAAUGCUCUUCCGCUGGUUCAACCGUUUAUCCAACGUCACAGUUUUCAAAAGGUGUUUUGCACACACCAAAAUAAAUGCAUUUAUGUGUUGUGACAGUUUUCCAGCCCUCAUGGCUGCAACGAUGUGCUGGUUGAUUUCCCAUUCUUCUUCUCCCUCAUUUAGGAGGGUAAGGAUAAACAGAUCUGCAAUAAAAAUAAUAAUUGAAUUAGAA
Daphnia magna is the source of this 2946-nucleotide long non-coding RNA. RefSeq lists it as uncharacterized. NCBI's taxonomy places the organism in Eukaryota, Metazoa, Arthropoda, Branchiopoda, Diplostraca, Daphniidae. The transcript is spliced from 7 exons. The record is from RefSeq and is a predicted model, not a curated record.